Molecule: ribosomal RNA, 245 nt
Filed under: uncultured bacterium
Lineage: Bacteria
Description: partial 16S ribosomal RNA
Rfam family: Bacterial small subunit ribosomal RNA
Source: RNAcentral
CACGUGAGGGGCGAACGUUGUUCGGUGUCACUGGGCUUAAAGGGCGCGUAGGUGGCUGCGCAAGUAAGGUGUGAAAGCCCUCGGCUUACCCGGGGAACUGCGCCUUAUACUGCGUGGCUUGAGGGUCACAGGGGAAGGGGGAACUCCAGGUGUAGCGGUGAAAUGCGCAGAUAUCUGGGGGAAGGCCGGCGGCGAAGGCGCCCUUCUGGGUGAUUCCUGACACUGAGGCGCGAAAGCGUGGGGAG